CCUACGGGAGGCAGCAGUGAGGAAUAUUGGUCAAUGGCCGGAAGGCUGAACCAGCCAUGCCGCGUGAAGGUCAGUGCCCUAUGGGCGUUAAACUUCUUUUGUGCGGGAGCAAUAAUGGUCACGUGUGGCCAGACGAGAGUACCGUACGAAUAAGCAUCGGCUAACUCCGUGCCAGCAGCCGCGGUAAUACGGGGGAUGCAAGCGUUAUCCGGAUUUAUUGGGUUUAAAGGGUGCGUAGGCUGUGAGGUAAGUCAGCGGUGAAAUGCCCCCGCUCAACGGGGUGAAGUGCCAUUGAUACUGCCUGGCUGGAAUGCGGAUGCGGUGGGAGGAAUGUGGGGUGUAGCGGUGAAAUGCAUAGAUAUCACACAGAACACCGAUUGCGAAGGCAUCUCACGAAUCCGCGAUUGACGCUGAUGCACGAAAGCGUGGGUAUCAAACAGGAGUAGAUACCCCAGUAGUC
RNAcentral lists this ribosomal RNA (460 nucleotides) under uncultured bacterium. RNAcentral describes it as "partial 16S ribosomal RNA". It matches the Rfam family "Bacterial small subunit ribosomal RNA", at positions 338 to 795 of the family's 1533-position model. The record is from RNAcentral.